AGGGCUGGAGGGAGACAGCAGCCAAAUUCCAUCCAGAGGAAGUCCCACUGACUGAGAAAGGCCCAGUCUGUGGGGACAUUUCUGUGGCAUUUUGAGGGUAAAAUGGCUAA
Molecule: microRNA precursor, 110 nt
Organism: Gallus gallus (chicken)
Lineage: Eukaryota; Metazoa; Chordata; Aves; Galliformes; Phasianidae
Source: Ensembl